UAGGGAAUCUUCCACAAUGGGCGAAAGCCUGAUGGAGCAACGCCGCGUGUGUGAUGAAGGCUUUCGGGUCGUAAAGCACUGUCGUAUGGGAAGAACAGCUAGAAUAGGAAAUGAUUUUAGUUUGACGGUACCAUACCAGAAAGGGACGGCUAAAUACGUGCCAG
Molecule: ribosomal RNA, 164 nt
Filed under: uncultured bacterium
Lineage: Bacteria
Description: partial 16S ribosomal RNA
Rfam family: Bacterial small subunit ribosomal RNA
Source: RNAcentral